CAAAGCACUAGGUGGAGAUAGGAGGAGGCCAGUCACUAGCCUCCUAGCUAAACACACAUAGCUAGGGCUAGCCAGCAUGCUAAACUACAUACACUUCGUCUAAAUGUCGCCCUUCUUAUCAAGCGAUGGCCAAGGAAAAGUGUUCGCAGAUCGAAGCCGAACUUUAUUACCUCAUCGCCCGGUUUCUGCAGUCUGGACCCUGUAAGAAGGCAGCACAGGUCCUGGUGGAGGAGCUCGAGGAGUACGAGUUGGUUCCUCGGCGGUGGAGUUGGGAUGGGGAGGAGAAGCGGCGGAGCUUCACAGAAUGGGUGGUGGUGAACCAGCACCUCCCGGCCGACUACCUGCUGAGGGUAUGUCGGAGGAUCGGUCCCCUGAUCGAGAAGGAGGUGCCCCCCAGCGUCCCGGGGGUCAGCACCCUGUUGGGCCUGGGGAGGCAGUCUCUGCUGCGCACCACCAAGACUUGCAGCCACCAGGUAUGCAGGGGGUCGAUAGCAGCAGCUCUCCACAGGGGGCGCCCCCCAGAACCCCCCGCCAUCACAGACCACUCGCCCAGUGUCGUGUCCAUCAUGGGGGCGCGACAGGCCACGGGGGCGGCCCGCUUCGACCAGGCCGUGCCCACCCUCACCUACCAGCACAUGAAGACCCACAAGCGCAUCCUGGGCCACCUGUCCUCGGUCUACUGCGUCGCCUUCGACCGCACCGGGCGCCGCAUAUUCACGGGGUCAGACGACUGCCUGGUGAAGAUCUGGGCCACGGACGACGGGCGGCUGCUGUCCACGCUGCGCGGGCACGCCGCCGAGAUCUCGGACAUGGCCGUGAACCACGAGAACACGCUGAUGGCGUCGGCCAGCUGCGACAAGGUGAUCCGGGUGUGGUGCCUGCGGACCUGCGCCCCCGUCACCGUGCUGCAGGGCCACGCCGCCUCCAUCACCUCCAUACAGUUCUGUCCAGGUGUCCGGGGCACCAGGAGGUACCUGGCGUCCACCGGAGCCGACGGAAUGGUGUGCUUCUGGCAGUGGCACUCCUGUAGCAUGAAGUUCAGCGACCAGCCCAUCAAGUUUGUGGAGCGGUCGCGUCCCGGGGUCCAGGUCUCCACCUCCUCCUUUAGUAGUGGGGGGAUGUUCCUGGCCACCGGCAGCACUGAUCAUGUGAUCAGGGUAUACUACCUCGGCUCUGAUGCCCCAAUGAAGCUCUCUGAGAUGGACGCACACGGGGACAAAGUGGUUGUCGUCCAGUUCUGCAAUAACAGCGACAGUCUGAGGUUUGUCAGCGGCAGUCGCGACGGCACGGCGAGGAUCUGGCAGUACCAGCAGCAGGAGUGGAAGAGCAUCAGUCUGGACAUCGCCGCCCGCCUGCCAGGGAGUCCUGUUGUCAACGGCGACGACAAGACCAAGCUGGUGGUCACCAUGGUAGCGUGGGACCGUGGCGACCGCACCGUCGUCACGGCGGUCUCCAACUUCCUGCUCAAAGUGUGGAACUCCCGAACCGGACAGCUGCUGCACGUGCUGUCUGGUCACGAUGACGAGGUGUUUGUGCUGGAGGCCCACCCCUUCGACCCCCGCGUCAUGCUCUCCGCCGGCCACGACGGGAACAUCUACAUCUGGGACCUGAGCCGAGGAGCCCGGAUAAGGAACUUCUUCAACAUGAUCGAAGGCCAGGGUCACGGCGCCAUCUUCGACUGCAAGUUCUCGGCCGACGGGCAGCACUUCGCCUGCACCGACUCCCACGGCCACCUGCUGCUGUUCGGCUUCGGCUGCAGCCAGCCCUACGAGAAGAUUCCGGACCAGAUGUUCUUCCACACGGACUACCGGCCGCUGAUCCGCGACACCAACAACUACGUCCUGGACGAGCAGACGCAGCAGGCGCCCCACCUGAUGCCCCCCCCCUUCCUGGUGGACAUAGACGGGAACCCCCACCCGCCGCGCUACCAGCGGCUAGUGCCGGGCCGCGAGAGCUGCAACGAGGAGCAGCUGGUGCCGCAGCUAGGCUACAUCGCUAACAGUGACGGAGAGGUGGUGGAGCAGGUCCUGGGUCAGCAGACGGGGGACAACGGAGAGAGUCCUCUGGACAACCUGAUCAGACAGCUGCAGAGCCAGCAGAACGCUCUGGGCCAGGAGCCCAGCCCAGACCGGCCGUCCCCGGACCCAGCAGACGGAGAAGCAGCUGGGGAGGACCCUGCCAUGGAGCCGGGCCAGGCUGAGGGCCAGGCUGAGGGCCAGGCUGAGGGCCAGGCUGACGUCCAGGCUGAGGGCCAGGCUGGGGGCCAGGUCGAGGGCCAGGCUGGGGGCCAGGCAGAGGGGGAAGAGGGUCCGGGAGAGGGCCAGGCGGAGGGGGUGUGGCAGGUACAGAACAACGCCCUCCCCAGCCAGCAGGCCACGGAGAGAGACCUGUUGGCCUGGAGCCACCGCACGGUGGUCAACGAGCUGCCCAAAGCCACCUUCAGGGUGAUGGAGGAGUGCAGGCGGGCCAAAGGGGAGGUGGAGUGCUCUCUGUACAACGCAGAGCGCCGCAAGAAACCAGCCAGCGGCGGGGUCAAGGUUGACCCCCUGACCCCCAGGGUCCGCUCCCUGCGCCCCGCCAGCAGUAAGAAGAAGCAGAGCCACGCCUACCAGACCCGCUCCGCCCAGGUCCGUCGCCGCGGCAACCGCACCCGUGCCUCCAGCGCUCGGCAGGGGGCCGACAGCCAGGCGGAGUCGGACAGCGACGGAGACGCCACGGAGCCGCAGGAGGUCAGCGAUGGGUCGUCGGAGGGCGACGCCCAGUGGCAGAGUGACAGCAGCUCCAGCGACUCCUCCAGCGAGUAUUCUGAUUGGACAGCGGACGCAGGGAUCAACCUGCAGCCGCCCAAGCGACCAACCAGGAGGUUGACUAGACCUCAGGGCUACAGCAGCUCAGAGGAGGAAGAGGAGGAGGAGCAGCAGCAGGAGGAAGAGGAGGGGGAGGACGGGGAGGAGGGGGAGAGACCCCCGAAGAGAGACCGGACGAAGAAGGAAAAGAAGGAGAAGAAGAAGAAGAAGUCGAAAGAGACCAAACAGAAGCCCAUGUCCUCACUGACGGGCGUGGACCCCGACGAGUGGAGACCACCCGCCUGGAUCACCGAGACCGUCCCCCGGCGAUCGCCCUUCGUACCGCAGAUGGGAGACGAGCUGAUGUACUUCCGACAGGGCCACCAGGCGUACGUUCGGGCGGUCCGCCGAGCCAAGGCCUACAGCAUCAACCCCCAGAAGCAGCCCUGGAACAAGCUGAACCUCAGGGACCAGGAGUCUGUGAAGGUGGUGGGCAUCAAGUACGAGGUCGGCUCCCCCACCCUAUGCUGCCUGAAGCUAGCCUUCCUGGACCUCCGCUCCGGCAAGAUGACGGGCGACUCCUUCUCCCUCAAGUACCACGACAUGCCCGAUGUCAUCGACUUCCUGGUCCUGCUGCAGUUCUACAACGAGGCUAAGGACCACAACUGGCAGCCAGGCAUGAGGUUCCGCAGCAUCAUCGACGACGCCUGGUGGUUCGGCUCGGUGGAGGACCAGGAGCCACUGCAGCUGGAGUACCCCGACAGCCUGUUUCAGAGCUACGCCGUCAGGUGGGACAACGAGGAGCAGGAGAAGAUGAGUCCCUGGGACAUGGAGCCCAUUCCUGAAGAAGCGGCCCUGCCGGAGGAGGAGGGUGGAGGCGUGGAGGUGCUGGAGGAGGAGCUGGUGGCCCUGCUCUACGAGCCCCAGGAGGGCGAGUGGGGGGCCCACACCCGGGACGAGGACUGUGAGCGGGUCCUCCAAGGGAUCACGGACCUCCUCACGCUAGACGUGGCGAAGGCCUUUGCGUUGCCCGUGGACCUGCGGGACUACCCGCUGUACUGCACCGCGGUGGCAUACCCCACCGACCUCAGCACCAUCCGCCUGCGUCUUGACAACCGCUUCUACAGGCGUAUCUCUGCUCUGAUGUGGGAGGUGCGCUACAUCGAGCACAACGCCCGCACCUUCAACGAGCCGCAGAGCCCCAUCGUGGCCGCCGCCAAGGUGGUGACCGACAUCCUGCUGCACUACAUCGGGGAUCAGAGCUGCACGGACAUCUUGGAUCUGUUCCACAGGCUGAGGUCAGAGGUCAGCAGUGGAGGAGAGCUGGAGGUGGCUGACGUGGACGUGGACUCAGACACCCCGGGGACGUCCUCUGGGAACCGGGCCUCCUCCAGCUCUAAGAAGCGUGGGGUGGAGCUGGACGUGAACGCGUGGAAGGGCCAGGUCAGAGACCUGAUCAGACACAUGAUCACCAGCCGGGACUCGGAGCCCUUCAGGCAGCCCGUCGACCUGUUUGUCUACCCGGACUACCGGGACAUCAUCGACACCCCCAUGGACCUGAGCACGGUGUCGGAGACGCUGGUGGGCGGGAACUACGAGAACCCCAUGGAGUUCAGCAAGGACGUGCGUCUCAUCUUCACCAACUCCAAGGCCUACACCCCCAACAAGAAGUCCCAGAUCUACACCAUGACUCUGAGCCUGUCGGCCUACUUCGAGAGCCGCAUCAUCUCCAUCAUCUCGGACCACAAGUCGGCCGUCCAGAACCAGCGGCGCAGCAGCCAGAGGCUGAGCUACAGGAAGAGGCUCCACAGCCCAGGAGGAAGCUCCUCUCCUGGGAGCCCGCCCCCCAGCCCCAAAGGGAAGCACAAGUCAGGGAAGACCAAGAAGUCGAAGUCGAAGUCGAAGCCAAACAAGUCGAGGGCCCGGAGCGAGAGUUCCUCCAAGAAGAGCCGGUCCUCGUCCCGACGGCCGCGCCGGGCUCCCCCCAGCGAUGUGGAGGUGGAUGAAGACAGCCAGCCCUCCUCUUCCUCUUCCUCCACCUCAGCCAGCCAAGCUCCGCCCCCCACCACCUCCUCACGCAGCCGGGCCACGCCCCCCGCCAAGAGAACAGUUCCCCAGCGGCCCGUCGCCCUUAGCAACGGCUCCAGACAGAGCCUGAGACGCCCGGCGUUGGCGGCGGCGGCGGCGACGGCGGCGGCCAGCGAGGAGGCGACCGCCGGCUCCUCUCGCUCCUCCUCCGGCUCCUCCUCCUCGUCCUCUUCCUCGUCGUCGUCGUCCUCGUCGUCCUCCUCCUCGUCUUCGUCGGACAGCGGCUCCGACUCCGAGACGGAGAAGUUUGUGGAGGGCUGUGACCACGACUACAGCAAGGCUCCUCCCCUCCCCAAGUCCGCCCCGCCCCCUCCCCCGCCGUCGCGACCUCACGCCAAGGGCGGCACCGCCGUCCGGGCGGCUGCCGUCGCCAGGGGCAACAAGGCGGUUGCCACGGUGACCGCCGCCACCAAACGGAGACGAGAGGCGGUGCCCGACACGCCCACACAGAGACCCAAGAGGGCGAGGGUAAAGUCUGCCGGAGAGGAAGAGGAGGAGGAGGAGGAGGAGGAGCAACAGGAGGAGGAGGAGGAGGAAGAGGAGAACGACGAAGAGGGGGAGGAUGAUGAUGAAGAGGGAGAUGAGGAGGAAGAAGAGGAGGACGCAGAGGCGGAGGUGGUGCUGCAGCCCCAGCAGGAGGAAGAAGAGGUGGAGGAGGAUGAGGAGGAGGAGGAAGAAGAGGAAGAAGAAGAAGAAGAGGAAGAGGCAGAGGAGGUGAAAGCCGCUGCUGUAGGAAAUGAAGAGGACCCUGGCGACGACGAUGAGGAGGAGGAGCCUGACGAAGAGGAGGAGCCGGACGAGGAGGAAGAGGAGGAGGCGUCUGAGUCGGAGCAGGGGGCCGCAGGAGGAGCGGCGGGGGGCGGGGCGAGCAGGCCCCGGCGCUCCAAGUCGGCCCGCGUCAACACCCGUAACCAGGGCCGCCGGACGGUCCAGUACGUGGACGAGUCGGACGACGAGGGUCAGAGGUCGAAGGACGACCCCCUGAACCUUGGGAAGUCGCGGUCGGGCCGCGUACGCAAGAUGACUGAGAAGGCCCGGGUCAGCCACCUCAUGGGCUGGAACCACUAACCCUUGACCUCUGACCCCCCGACCUUAACCUCUGCCCCCUGACCUCUGAACCCUGACCCCCAGACUCUGGGUUCCACUGCAGGGAUAACCGUUUGUUGUGUUUUUAUCUAUAUAUAUAUAUAUAUAUAUAUAUAUACGGGCUGAGUCACGACUCAGCGAACGGCCGGUGCUCCAGAUGAGGUCUGUUGCCAAGGAGCCGUCGUCGAGGGUGACGGGAGGGUGGGGGACAACAAAAAGCAAAGCCACCUACCCUCCUCUCUUCCUCCUCUUCAUCGUACCCUCCUCAUUCCCCCCCUCCUUUACCUGCUCUUUGCUACCUCCUCCUUUGCCCUACCGUUCCUCCUCCCCCUCCAGACUGUAGAUCCUAUGUCCUCCUCCUCCUCCUCCUCCCCCUCCAGACUGUAAAUCCUAUGUCCUCCUCCUCCUCCUCCUCCUCCUCCUCCUCCUCCCCCUCCAGACUGUAGAUCCUAUGUCCUCCUGUCCUCCUCCUCCUCCUCUUCCUCGCUCCGCUCCCCGGACACCAAAGAAAGGCGGGAGGUGCCAAAACAAAACGGUGCUCAUUCAAUUUUUAUUUUUAUUUAAUUUUUUUGCAGCGUGUGUUUUGUUGUUGUUGUGCUCCUCCGGUGUGCUGCUGAGCCACAAACCUCAUCACCUCGUGGGGGUCAUCGCGGGGUCUCUAGGGGGCCCUCAUAGCGUAGGGCAUGAUGUCAUCUCCUCUGCCAUUGGCUCCAAUCCCGGUGGGCCUCGAGGUCAACUUUACAUCGUCACGACCACGGUCUCUCUAGCCUCGAGGUAAACAUUACAUCGUCACGCCAGCGGUCUCUCCCUCAGCCAGCUCUGCCUCUGGCUGUGUCUAGGUCCUGGAGGUGGUCUUCACGGGACCGGGGUCUGGCCGUCUCUUCCUCCUGAGCCAGUGAACGUUAGACCGGGCCGUUCCACUGAGUGGAGCCCCAUGUUGCCCGGGUGUCACUCCCUCUCUCGUCCCCUUCCUCCUUUAGUUCCCUUCGUCUGGUUGGUACAUGGGAGACCUCGUGUGCUUGUUUGAUCUGGUCUGUAUCCUACUCUCUCAACAUCACCGGUUGAAAGUUUCUUCCGAGACCCCGUCUCUCUCUCUCCGCCCUCCCUGGUGCCCAACCGUGGACCCCUCUCCUCCUCUUCUCACCUCCUCUCUCCUCCUCUCCUCACCUCCUCCUCUCCUCCUCUCUCCUCCUCUCCUCCUCCUCUGUCAGCGCUGUCGUGUCCUCCGCGCUCAACACCUCUUCAUUAACGAGAAUACUAAAUAUUUUGUUUUUGCACACUAAAUCAUUCUGGCAGCUGGCUAAUAAAGUUGUCGGGAGGAUAUCAGUUUUAUAAGCCGAAGGCUGAACUCCUUCUCCUUCAUUCAUGCGCUCUCCAUCGUCUCCACCGCACCAGCACACUGAGUACCGGAGCUCCACCUACAGAGCGUCUGCAGCAGGUACCUACAGAGCCUGCUGCUGACGGCGCCGUCACAAAAAAAACUCAUGAACUCUUCCUUGUGGUCGCGACCCCGUGAUGUCACCCGGUUCAGCGACCAAUCAGGUUCCUCGUUGCCCUCAGAGGUCAACCCUAGAUCUCUGACCUCUGACCUCUGAGUUGCCCAUCGAGCAUGACUCUAACCCUGCGACGGUGCGAGCGGUAGAACAGAGAGAGAGAGAGAGAGAGAGAGGGAGAGGGGGGGAUGACCUCCAACUAUGAAAUGUAAUCUCAGUAGCGUCAGUGGAUGAGUGGUGCUCCCACACGUCUUCAGCAGAGCUUGGUUAUAGAGUCAGGGAUGUACAGUCAGCCUUUCGUUGCUCUUUAUGUGUGGUGUGAGAACAACGCCCGACUAUUGCUUUGGAAUUGUAUUUUCAUACGAUGAUCUACGGCGUUUGUAGGGGUACCCUUUCAGUGACUCAAUCGAUUUAGGUGAAAUAAACUUCAGUGAUUAAUAUUCUUUUUUCUUUUUUUUACACUUUAUGAUUGUAUAUUAGUUGUUUUUUUCUGUGUUUUUUUUUAAAUAAAGAAGUUGAUCUCUUGUAGGCCGGCCU
Molecule: RNA transcript, 7990 nt
Organism: Gadus chalcogrammus (walleye pollock)
Lineage: Eukaryota; Metazoa; Chordata; Actinopteri; Gadiformes; Gadidae
Gene: brwd3
Gene name: bromodomain and WD repeat domain containing 3
Exons: 41
Source: RefSeq, a predicted model, not a curated record